Molecule: ribosomal RNA, 405 nt
Filed under: uncultured Rubellimicrobium sp.
Lineage: Bacteria; Pseudomonadati; Pseudomonadota; Alphaproteobacteria; Rhodobacterales; Roseobacteraceae
Description: bacterial SSU rRNA
Rfam family: Bacterial small subunit ribosomal RNA
Source: RNAcentral
GUGGGGAAUCUUGGACAAUGGGGGCAACCCUGAUCCAGCCAUGCCGCGUGGAUGAUGAAGGCCUUAGGGUCGUAAAGUCCUUUCGCCGGGGAAGACAAUGACGGUACCCGGUAAAGAAACCCCGGCUAACUCCGUGCCAGCAGCCGCGGUAAUACGGAGGGGGUUAGCGUUGUUCGGAAUGACUGGGCGUAAAGCGCGCGUAGGCGGAUCGGAAAGUUGGGGGUGAAAGCCCAGGGCUCAACCCUGGAACGGCCUUCAAGACUUCCGGUCUAGAGUUCGAGAGAGGUGGGUGGAAUUCCGAGUGUAGAGGUGAAAUUCGUAGAUAUUCGGAGGAACACCAGUGGCGAAGGCGGCCCACUGGCUCGACACUGACGCUGAGGCGCGAAAGCGCGGGGAGCAAACAGG